CCUACGGGAGGCAGCAGUGGGGGAUAUUGCACAAUGGGGGGAACCCUGAUGCAGCGACGCCGCGUGGGUGAAGGAGUGUUUCGGCGCGUAAAGCCCUAUCGGCAGGGAAGAAGAUGACGGUACCUGACCAAGAAGCCCCGGCGAACUACGUGCCAGCAGCCGCGGUAAUACUUAGGGGGCAAGCGUUAUCCGGAUUUACUGGGUGUAAAGGGGGCGCAGACGGCAAUGCAAGCCUGGAGUGAAAUCCCAGGGCGUAACCCUGGGACUGCUCUUGAAACUGCGUGGCUGGAGUGCAGGAGGGGUAAGCGGAAGUCCGAGUGGAGCGGUGAAAUGCGUAGAUAUUAGGAGGAACACCAGUGGCGAAGGCGGCCUGCUGGACUGUGACUGACGUUGAGGCCCGAAGGCGUGGGGAGCAAACAGGAUUAGAUACCCUUGUAGUC
RNAcentral lists this ribosomal RNA (440 nucleotides) under uncultured bacterium. Its description in RNAcentral is "partial 16S ribosomal RNA". It matches the Rfam family "Bacterial small subunit ribosomal RNA", at positions 338 to 795 of the family's 1533-position model. The record is from RNAcentral.